AACUGAUACUACCUGCGGGAACCUGCGGAAGGAUCAUUACCGAGUUCUCGCCCCUCGCGGGGUAGACCUCCCACCCACUGUGAUCACUACCGUCGUUGCUUUGGCGGGCCGCUGGGCCCAGCCCACCGCCGGCCCCGGCUGGCGCGUGCCCGCCAGAGGCCCUACAAACGCUGGAUAUCAGUGCCGUCUGAGUACACAUGUUAAUCGUUAAAACUUUUAACAACGGAUCUCUAGAUCGGA
RNAcentral lists this unclassified non-coding RNA (240 nucleotides) under soil metagenome. RNAcentral's name for it is "partial contains 5.8S ribosomal RNA, internal transcribed spacer 2, and large subunit ribosomal RNA". The record is from RNAcentral.